Molecule: long non-coding RNA, 4656 nt
Filed under: Haliotis rubra (blacklip abalone)
Lineage: Eukaryota; Metazoa; Mollusca; Gastropoda; Lepetellida; Haliotidae
Description: uncharacterized LOC124278488
Source: RNAcentral
UAGACCAAUACACAGUUGUAGUAGAGACAUCACAACACUAUAGACCAAUACACAGUUGUAGUAGAGACAUCAGAACACGUUAGACCAAUACACACUUGUAGUUGAGACAUCAGAACACUUGUAGUAGAGACAUCAGAACACUUGUGGUUGAGACAUCAGAACACUAUAGAACAAUACACAGUUGUAGUAGAGACAUCAGAACACUUUGCAGAACACAAUAAUGAUACCAAGAUGCAUAUUUUAUCAGACACUCAUCUCUGUAGUGAAUACGACCUGUUUCAGUUUUGUACACCUGACCAGGUGAGGGUUGAUGAAGUUGUAUAUAUGCAAAUGUUAUUUUAAUCUGUGGAGGCUGAGGAUGCAGCAAUUGUGAUGACUUUAUUUUAUAUAUUUUUUUACUGUUACACUCUGUUACAGAUAAUAUGGCAGUGAGCCUGUAUGAUGUCUGGGAUAUAUUUGUAUACAUAUAUCUAUGUAAAUAGAAUCCGUAUUGAUACCUGUGUGUGAUAUGCGUGAUGGUUAUUAAUUGAGAAAUAUUUCAAAUUUCAUGUCAACAUUUUUGUGGUUUAAUUUUGAUAAAUUUUCCCACAAUGCCACAUGGAUGGUUUCUUCUUUAAGGCACAAGUACUUAAGGCAUUUGUAUUUCCCCAAGUGUUUAAAUGUAAUUAAGGUCCAUGAUUUUUUCUGGAGUACAUACAUUUUUAUCUGGAGAGUCUCCAAGUUGAAUUUUGUUUCAUAAACUGGGAUUCCUCAAUAUUUUGUAACUGAAUUUCAAGCACUGUUCCAUAAAACCGGAUCUUUUGAGAAUGUUCAGAAUUAUUUUAAAUAAGCGUGGGACAUUUCACAUCUGGCAGGGGUUGCAAUGUCUGUGAUUCGUACACUGGGAAACAAUCUUAUAUUUGUGUUUUUUUCAUUUGCCUGUUUUUAAAGGCACUUGUCUUAGCAUCUCGUCUGAGGGAUUGGUCAUUUAUUAUAGGGUUGGGUUUGCAGGUGGGAUGGUUGUCCCUUAAUUUCAGCAGCAUUUUUCAUGUCCCCCAUUAUUAACUACCACAAAGGGCCUAAAUAAAUUUCUAGAGGCAAGUGAGUUUAUUAAAAAAUGCUUCCGUUUAUUCAGCAGUGAAUGGGUACCCGGUGGGAUAAGUCUAUUAAUCUUCUAGUGUCUCAAAGGCAACUUGAGUUAACCAGGAUAAAAAUGUCAAUAAUGUGCUUAAAGCAUGCUUGUGUGUCAUAGAGCUCAGUGCCAUACAAGUGGCAUUGUUACUGUUUUCUAAAAAAUUAGAACUGUAAUUGUUUCAUGACAACCCUCCUUACGCCCACUGCCUUCUAUAAUAAAUGACCAACCCCCUAAUGACUUGGCUGUGUGCAUGAUUCCCAUUGUAAUAGCCCUUUGUGUAUACGCUGUAUAUGUCGCUGGGUGCAGGUUUAUAUUUAUCAUGCAUGCUGUGUAUGUAAAACAACUUCAAACCAAUGGCAACCAGUUGUCUGAACCGUCUUUUAUUGUGACACUAGUCUUGUACAGUGCUUGUAGGCCUUUUCUUUUUUGAUAGUGUAAAAUGACUUUUUACAACAGUUCAUGACCUUUCAGAUUUGUUCUGAUUUGCAGUUAUUCCACAUUUGUCAUUGCAAUGUUUAAUCUUGCCAAGUCAUGAUGAUGAUGAUGAUGAUGAUCAUGAUGAUGAUGGUGACGAUGAUGAUGAUUACCACGUGCUUCUAGAGAAACUGAUUUUUCACUUUGUUUGUAAAUUGAAUUUAUUUAUGUAAUAAUAAGCAUAAUUUUCAGAAUAAGACUAUAAUUGUGAUGUAACCAUAUUCAGCUGUUAAGUAGAUUAACUCAGCUAAUAUUUGGGGAUUAUUUGAAUCUCAUGACAACUAGCUGAGGAGAGCAAUCUUACCUGUAUUACACCACUGACACCCAUUACACAGGGGGGCGGUGGGGUAGCCUAGUGAUUAAAGCGUUGGCUCCUCAUGCCGAAGACCCGGUUCGAAUCCCCACAUGGGUACAAUGUGUGAAGCCCAUUUCUGGUGUCCCCCUGCCGUGAUGUUGCUGGAAUAUUGCUAAAAGCGUCGUAAAACCAAACUCAGUCAGUCAGUCAGCCAUUACACAGGAGAACCAUCAGCUAUGUGGCAGGAUGUAGCAGUCAUUGACCAAGGACACUUGACACAGAAUAUACAAUUUCUUACCAUCAUCAACUUUAUUAGUACCAGAGAAGCUAUGGUUUUAUACAACACAAGGAAUGACAUAAUAACUAUAAUAAUAUAAAAGAAUUGGGCAUUCAGGAUACUUAAGGGAAGGUAGUGUUCUGGGGAACACUAUGUUUAACCUCCCACAAACAUUUAUGUCGCAACUGACUGAGAAUUUGAAAAAGUGUUGGUCUAUUUUUGUCCGAAUUUUUCAUUAUCUGGACCUGUUAUGCAAAUGUACAGAUCUAGACAUUGUACGCAAGGAAUGUAUCCUGUUUGCUUCUUGUGAAAUUGUCUGAAGCCCCUUAAAUACUAAAUACACUGUGAAACUCUUCUCAUAAACAUAUGACAGGGGUGGAACCUUGUAUCUUUCUUUGAAUAAGUCUUUGCUAAAUAAGCAUGUUAUUGAUAUGCAAUAUGUGGGUCAAAGCCCACUGAAGAUACAUGUUUGAUGGUGUAUUUUCAUGUCAGCUGUUUUCAAAAAUUCGAUUCCCCACAUGGGUACAAUAUGUCAAGCCCAUUUCUGGUGUCCCCCAAUGUGAUAUUGCUGGAAUAUUGCUCAAAGUGGCGUAAAACCAUAUUCACUCACUCAUGUCACAUUAUGUGUCAAUUUUUGAAAAUAUAUGACAUGUAUGUUAAAUGGAAUGGGGGGUGGUUAAAGCGUUCGCUCGUCAUGCCGAAGACCCAAAUACCCGGUUCGGUUUCCCACAUGGGUACAAUGUAUGAAGCCCAUUUCUGCUGUCCCCUGCCGUGAUAUUGCUGUAAUAUUGCUAAAAGCGGCGUAAAACCAAACUCACUCACAAAGGAUGGAACAGUUGUUACUGAUUGUUGGCAAAAUGGUUGAUGGCUGAUUUAGCACUUAUGACCAUCCAUGACAGCUUCAAACUCUGUUGUCAUAGUGACAAUAUUUCUGAUGAUGAUUUGAAACAUCACUUACUUAGGUAUAACACUCAAAACAAACUGCAGAACUUCACAAUUGGAAGAUAAAAUCAGUUGUUUUUCAAUUGAGCAAUUUAUAUGACUUUGAAAUAAGAUUAAGGUGUUCCCAAAGGUCUUACCAAUAUUUUAUCAGUCAUCAGUUCAAAAGAUACAAUUUCUUUUUCUGAUAGAGAAGACCAACACUCUUUGGGGACUCACGAUACUUUGGUCUCUAAAAUAUUCAUCAUGUUUAGUGAAUAUGAUCCACUUGUAUCUCCGUGGGUUGUAACUCACAUACCUGAAUGGAGUCUUACAUAUCCAUAGCAAUAAGAUGGUCCAAUUGCUUUUGUGUUGAGGAGACAUUUACUUUGCCGAUCCAUGAUGCUAUCAGUUAGAAAAUAUUAGAAACGAAAAGCAGUAUGGCACAGCUAAUAUACAUCCCUGUCUGAAUUGCGGAAAAAUGUAUGGAUGUAACUUUUGCAUUAUUGGGAAUAUAUAUACCCAUGAAGGUCGGGGUUAGAAUAUUGGUCUUUAGUAACCCAUGCAUGUCGGAAGAGGCGACUAACGGGAUCGUGCGGUCAGGCUCGCUGACUUGGUUGACAUGUACACAUGUCAUCGGUUAUUGCACAGAUCGAUGCUCAUGCUGUUGAUCACUGGAUUGCCUGGUCCAGACUUGAUUAUUUACUGACCGCCGCCAUAUAGCUUGAAUGUUGCUGAGUGCAGCGUAAAACAACUCACUCACCCACUCGAGUAUAUAAUUGUCAUUCCUUCAUAAGUUGAAUGAAAGCUGGGAAGACUGUUGCUGUAUAUGUUGAUAUAGUUAAGUAGGGUAUAAGGGUGAUAUUAUGGGAUAGAUAGGAUAGGUAAGCUAUUGCUUGUCCGACCAACAUAUACUCUCAUCUGUUGAUAAGGAUAUUAUUCACAAAUUCCAUUCUCAGAAUGUCAAGUGUGUGUUUAAAUAUCUCUUGCUAUCCUUAUCAAUAGUUGAGUAGUAUGUAUUCUAGUUUUUGUUUAAUAGGUUGACUGCCACCCGAGUAUACUCGUAGUAUCAAUUCUGGCCGAAUGUGCCACUACGAGUUAUCUAGUGGUAGUUUGAAACAAGUUUCACAUGUUGGCAAAAUAGGCACAAGAAACAAAAGACUCCUGGAGACAACUGCUUCUUGUGCCUGCUUUGACAACAUGUGAAACCUGUUUCAAAAUAUCAUUGAUGAAGCUACGAGAUUUUUUAUUUUUUUACUCGUAGUAGCAAAUUCGGCCACGCAUUGAUACUACGAGUAUACACGGGUGGCAGUCAACGUGUUAAGGGGCAAGCACUAUUGGCAAGCAGUUGGAACCAAAUGCCUCUUGGGUUGAUGACACAUACAUGAGAAUAUGCCACUGUUCUUCCUGAAUGAUAAUGGACUCCUCACACAGUGAGUUCUAAAAAUAGCAUUUCAAAGAAUAAGGUCAUGAGUUAAAAUGUUUCUCAGAGAAAUAAACAAGAUAAUUUUUUCUUGUGCAUAUGUAUUUCACGGCUUUGUGCAAUUUAUGUCUAAGCAUUAAACAUUACACAGAUGA